Non-coding RNA from Pelobates cultripes (western spadefoot toad), 543 nucleotides. Lineage: Eukaryota; Metazoa; Chordata; Amphibia; Anura; Pelobatidae. The record is from the annotation of a GenBank genome assembly.
UUCCCCUGGGGUUAAAUGUUAAAGGCCUUUCUGCCUUCACUUUAUCACAAUAUAUCAAUUUAUCACAAUAUAUAUAUAUAUAUUAAUUGGGGUAACCCCCAAAAUAUUGGGACAUAUAAAAAAAGACAACUCUGUUCCGCAGAGUAGCUGUUGACAUUAUAGUUGCGCAGGAACUUUGUUGACUCUAGAGAACCUCAGGCAAAUCGCACAUCCCCCAUGGUGGCGACUUUGCAUGCAGAUGUCAUCCAUAUCAACUUUCGAUGACAGUUUCUGCACCUACCAUGGUGACCACGGGUAACGGGGAAAUUGGUUUCCAUUCCAUAAAGGGACCCUGAGAAACGACUACUACAUGCAAGGAAGGCAGUAGGCGCGCAAAUGACCCACUCCCGACGCGGGAAGGUAGUGACGACAAAUAACAAUACAGGACUCGUUAGAGGCCCUAUAAUUGUAAUGAGUCCACUUGAAAUCCUUUAACUCUUAUCAAUUGGAGGGAAGUCUGGUGCAGAGCCACUGACCUAUGCGUGCUGCAGCUGAAACUCCACU